RNAcentral lists this ribosomal RNA (449 nucleotides) under uncultured bacterium. Its description in RNAcentral is "partial 16S ribosomal RNA". It matches the Rfam family "Bacterial small subunit ribosomal RNA", at positions 329 to 794 of the family's 1533-position model. The record is from RNAcentral.
CGCCAGACUCCUACGGGAGGCAGCAGUAGGGAAUAUUGCACAAUGGGGGAAACCCUGAUGCAGCAACGCCGCGUGAGUGAGGAAGUAUUUCGGUAUGUAAAGCUCUAUCAGCAGGGAAUAGAAAAGAAGGUACCUGAAAAAGAAGCCCCGGCUAACUACGUGCCAGCAGCCGCGGUAAUACGUAGGGGGCAAGCGUUAUCCGGAUUUACUGGGUGUAAAGGGAGCGCAGACGGCAGUGCAAGUCUGGAGUGAAAGCCCGGGGCCCAACCCCGGAACUGCUCUGGAAACUGUGCGGCUAGAGUACUGGAGGGGCAGGCGGAAUUCCUAGUGUAGCGGUGAAAUGCGUAGAUAUUAGGAGGAACACCAGUGGCGAAGGCGGCCUGCUGGACAGUAACUGACGUUGAGGCUCGAAAGCGUGGGGAGCAAACAGGAUUAGAUACCCUGGUACU